UGGGGAAUAUUGGGCAAUGGGCGCAAGCCUGACCCAGCAACGCCGCGUGAAGGAAGAAGGCUUUCGGGUUGUAAACUUCUUUUCUCAGGGACGAAGCAAGUGACGGUACCUGAGGAAUAAGCCACGGCUAACUACGUGCCAGCAGCCGCGGUAAUACGUAGGUGGCAAGCGUUAUCCGGAUUUACUGGGUGUAAAGGGCGUGUAGGCGGGAAAGCAAGUCAGAUGUGAAAACCAUGGGCUCAACCUGUGGCCUGCAUUUGAAACUGUUUUCUUGAGUACUGGAGAGGCAGACGGAAUUCCUAGUGUAGCGGUGAAAUGCGUAGAUAUUGGGAGGAACACCAGUGGCGAAGGCGGUCUGCUGGACAGCAACUGACGCUGAGGCGCGAAAGCGUGGGGAGCAAACAGGAUUAGAUACCC
This 417-nucleotide ribosomal RNA is filed under the name uncultured bacterium. RNAcentral describes it as "bacterial SSU rRNA". It matches the Rfam family "Bacterial small subunit ribosomal RNA", at positions 355 to 787 of the family's 1533-position model. The record is from RNAcentral.